This 1143-nucleotide ribosomal RNA is filed under the name Escherichia coli. Its description in RNAcentral is "partial 23S ribosomal RNA". It matches the Rfam family "Bacterial large subunit ribosomal RNA", at positions 1 to 1191 of the family's 2925-position model. The record is from RNAcentral. Lineage: Bacteria; Pseudomonadati; Pseudomonadota; Gammaproteobacteria; Enterobacterales; Enterobacteriaceae.
GCGACUAAGCGUACACGGUGGAUGCCCUGGCAGUCAGAGGCGAUGAAGGACGUGCUAAUCUGCGAUAAGCGUCGGUAAGGUGAUAUGAACCGUUAUAACCGGCGAUUUCCGAAUGGGGAAACCCAGUGUGUUUCGACACACUAUCAUUAACUGAAUCCAUAGGUUAAUGAGGCGAACCGGGGGAACUGAAACAUCUAAGUACCCCGAGGAAAAGAAAUCAACCGAGAUUCCCCCAGUAGCGGCGAGCGAACGGGGAGCAGCCCAGAGCCUGAAUCAGUGUGUGUGUUAGUGGAAGCGUCUGGAAAGGCGCGCGAUACAGGGUGACAGCCCCGUACACAAAAAUGCACAUGCUGUGAGCUCGAUGAGUAGGGCGGGACACGUGGUAUCCUGUCUGAAUAUGGGGGGACCAUCCUCCAAGGCUAAAUACUCCUGACUGACCGAUAGUGAACCAGUACCGUGAGGGAAAGGCGAAAAGAACCCCGGCGAGGGGAGUGAAAAAGAACCUGAAACCGUGUACGUACAAGCAGUGGGAGCACGCUUAGGCGUGUGACUGCGUACCUUUUGUAUAAUGGGUCAGCGACUUAUAUUCUGUAGCAAGGUUAACCGAAUAGGGGAGCCGAAGGGAAACCGAGUCUUAACUGGGCGUUAAGUUGCAGGGUAUAGACCCGAAACCCGGUGAUCUAGCCAUGGGCAGGUUGAAGGUUGGGUAACACUAACUGGAGGACCGAACCGACUAAUGUUGAAAAAUUAGCGGAUGACUUGUGGCUGGGGGUGAAAGGCCAAUCAAACCGGGAGAUAGCUGGUUCUCCCCGAAAGCUAUUUAGGUAGCGCCUCGUGAAUUCAUCUCCGGGGGUAGAGCACUGUUUCGGCAAGGGGGUCAUCCCGACUUACCAACCCGAUGCAAACUGCGAAUACCGGAGAAUGUUAUCACGGGAGACACACGGCGGGUGCUAACGUCCGUCGUGAAGAGGGAAACAACCCAGACCGCCAGCUAAGGUCCCAAAGUCAUGGUUAAGUGGGAAACGAUGUGGGAAGGCCCAGACAGCCAGGAUGUUGGCUUAGAAGCAGCCAUCAUUUAAAGAAAGCGUAAUAGCUCACUGGUCGAGUCGGCCUGCGCGGAAGAUGUAACGGGGCUAAACCAUG